GACGAACGCUGGCGGCGUGCUUAACACAUGCAAGUCGAACGGAAAGGCCCUGCUUGCAGGGUACUCGAGUGGCGAACGGGUGAGUAACACGUGGGUGAUCUGCCCUGCACUUCGGGAUAAGCCUGGGAAACUGGGUCUAAUACCGGAUAGGAGCCAUUUUUAGUGUGAUGGUUGGAAAGUUUUUUCGGUGUAGGAUGAGCUCGCGGCCUAUCAGCUUGUUGGUGGGGUAAUGGCCUACCAAGGCGGCGACGGGUAGCCGGCCUGAGAGGGUGGACGGCCACAUUGGGACUGAGAUACGGCCCAGACUCCGACGGGAGGCAGCAGGGGGGAAGAUUGCACAAUGGGCGCAAGCCUGAUGCAGCGACGCCGCGUGGGGGAUGACGGCCUUCGGGUUGUAAACUCCUUUCGCUAGGGACGAAGCUUUUUGUGACGGUACCUAGAGAAGAAGCACCGGCUAACUACGUG
This 465-nucleotide ribosomal RNA is filed under the name uncultured bacterium. Its description in RNAcentral is "partial 16S ribosomal RNA". It matches the Rfam family "Bacterial small subunit ribosomal RNA", at positions 28 to 507 of the family's 1533-position model. The record is from RNAcentral.